CGACCGGCGCACGGGUGAGUAACACGUAUGCAACCUGCCCUUUGCAGGGGGAUAACCGGAAGAAAUUCCGACUAAUACCGCAUAAUACUUUCUGGAGACAUCUCCGGAGAUUCAAAGGAAGCAAUUCCGGCAUAGGAUGGACAUGCGUCGCAUUAGGUAGACGGCGGGGUAACGGCCCACCGUGCCGACGAUGCGUAGGGGUUCUGAGAGGAAGGCCCCCCACACUGGUACUGAGACACGGACCAGACUCCUACGGGAGGCAGCAG
This 266-nucleotide ribosomal RNA is filed under the name uncultured bacterium. RNAcentral describes it as "partial 16S ribosomal RNA". It matches the Rfam family "Bacterial small subunit ribosomal RNA", at positions 92 to 354 of the family's 1533-position model. The record is from RNAcentral.